GGGCAGUUACCAAAGUGGACAAAUGGGACUGACUGUAAAUCAGUUGCGUAAGCUUCGAAGGUUCGAAUCCUCCACUGCCCACCA
This 84-nucleotide transfer RNA is filed under the name Dictyobacter arantiisoli. Its description in RNAcentral is "tRNA-Tyr". It matches the Rfam family "tRNA". From Rfam's summary of the family: Transfer RNA (tRNA) molecules are approximately 80 nucleotides in length. Their secondary structure includes four short double-helical elements and three loops (D, anti-codon, and T loops). Further hydrogen bonds mediate the characteristic L-shaped molecular structure. tRNAs have two regions of fundamental functional importance: the anti-codon, which is responsible for specific mRNA codon recognition, and the 3' end, to which the tRNAs corresponding amino acid is attached (by aminoacyl-tRNA synthetases). tRNAs cope with the degeneracy of the genetic code in two manners: having more than one tRNA (with a specific anti-codon) for a particular amino acid; and 'wobble' base-pairing, i.e. permitting non-standard base-pairing at the 3rd anti-codon position. The record is from RNAcentral. Lineage: Bacteria; Bacillati; Chloroflexota; Ktedonobacteria; Ktedonobacterales; Dictyobacteraceae.